Helianthus annuus (common sunflower) is the source of this 2459-nucleotide long non-coding RNA. RefSeq lists it as uncharacterized. Lineage: Eukaryota; Viridiplantae; Streptophyta; Magnoliopsida; Asterales; Asteraceae. The record is from RefSeq and is a predicted model, not a curated record. The transcript has 4 exons.
GCUAAGUUAUCAAAUGUAUAUCGAAAGGACACAGAAGCUCCAGCUGGUGGUGUUGAUCACAUGACAAAACUAUCAUAUUUGCAUGAGCCAGGAGUCCUGCAGAACUUAAGAAUUAGAUACGAACUCAAUGAAAUUUACACUUACACCGGAAACAUUCUAAUUGCAAUAAACCCGUUCCAAAAGGUACCUCAUUUGUACGAUGGUCAUAUGAAGGAAGAAUAUAAGGGUGCAUUGUUUGGAGAACUAAGUCCGCAUGUAUUUGCAGUAGCUAAUGCGUUUUACAGGUCUCUGUCAUUUAUUGAGUGGCCUAACAAUUAUUUUGCAUUUUUUCAAAAUAUAAUUAUGUCUUUAAUGAAACUAGGGCUAUGAUUUAGGAGGGUAAAAGUAAUUCCAUUCUGGUCAGUGGUGAAAGUGGAACAGGUAAAAUGGAGACAACCAAAAUGCUUAUGCAGUAUUUAGCAUAUUUGGGUGGUCGGAAAGCUACUGAAGGACGCACAGUUGAACCACAAGCUCUAGAAAUAUGAUACAUGACGUAUAGUUCUAUAUUAAAACUACUUAAUUAUUCUGUAAUUUGGAGCUUGCCAUAAAUAUACUCACAUAAAUAUAUACCUGACAGAGAACUAACCCAACUGAAUGCAUGCACCAUUCACUAAGGUUAAUCAGUUUUUACAUGCUCACUUACUCCUUCGUAUUCAAUAAUCUUCCAUUUUUUUUUUCUAUUUUAUUUGCUUAUUUUAUAGGAUCCACCCGUUAUGACGGAAGAUAUGCAUGAAGAAAGACUCUAUGCAUUUGAAGUCUUGGGGUAUUAAGUAUAUUGAGUAUUGGUGGUUUUCUAAACUAUUCACUUUUAUUAGAAUUUUUUUUACCUGUUAAUGGUUACUAGGUUUUCUCAAAAUUAGGUCCAACUGUAAGAUUUUCAUUUUCUUUUACAGCUCAGGAAAUUGAUGCUUUAGAUGUUAAGAAGAAACUCAUGAUUUGUUUUUGCUUCAUGUCUCAAUGUUACAACAAAACGGAGUCCGAUUUCUUGCUUCUUCACCAACUAAAGGAUGAACCCUCAACACAAUUUGAAUAUGUCAUGUUCUUCAUAAUAGGAGGACGACUGUAACCUCUUCUUCAUAUCGAUGAUUAGUUUUGUUCUGAACAAUCACGUCCAGAGCUUCCAUUAGUUUUGUUAUGAAAAUCGAGUUCAGUUUGCAUUUUGUUUGAUAAUUUGCUAAUCUUAUUUUGGAAUUUGUUAACAGAGAUCAGGUGGGUUAUUUUAUUUUGCUGCGGCAGAGAAGAAAGAUUUGAACGAUUUGGCGUCUGAUGUUUGGUCUUUGACUGGUAUUUAUGACAGGUGCUAUUCUUAUGAAGGAUCUUCUUCAUUUUCUAGAUACACAUGCUGCACAUCUACAACUUCAUGCAUUAUAUCAUCCAGGUUGGAUUAUUUUUCUCUAAUUUAUUACACCGAAAUUACUUUUUCGGUCAACCAUAUGUAUUGUUAUACUCUUUUGCUGAAAGAAGGAACCGAACCCAUUAAUGUUGAUUAGUAUUUAAAACAAACAACAUGGUUAUUUUUUAAAAAUUUAUUGUUACAUAGGUGUAGAGUGAUUGUCACUGAUUAUUUGAUAUGUUGAUUCGCACACUUUUCCCUUUAACUACCAAAGUGAAAGGGUCGCUAUUGGCAUGAAUUUUGAUCAAAUUUGCUGGUUUCACUUUUAGUCUUUUGGAAAACAUGUAUUAACAUGCAACAUUUCGUAACAUGGUACUAACGAGUUUUGAUUUUUUGAGAUGGUUGGAUAUCCAAAAAAUCAACUCUGUAAGUUAUGUUUAUUAUUCUUAUAUUUAUAGGUAAGCCGUUUUCUGAUUGACUUAGAUAAUAGUAGGAACACGGUGCAAGAUAAAAGGAGCCACACACUUGAUUGCUAUAUUGAAAAGCAUAAAACUGGUACAGCCUUUUGUCAGUGACUACGAAUCACUUACCGAUAUAGGGAACUUAAGAGUUUAUUUUUUCGUAUCCAAAAUCACAUAGUAUGUUUACUUAUUGAAAUGAAAAACAAGAUUAACAAUUGUGAUGAUUUCAAGUAUGAUUAUGAUAAUAAUCUAUAUAAACAUUUGGUGAUACUUGGUCUAGAAUGGAAUUGCCAUAUUAGGAUAAGUUAUCUAACCUCAAACAUAGGGUUAAAUUGGUCUCUAGAUAGUAGAUAUGUUUGGCCUUUUUUGUUAGUUGAAACCAUAUGAUGAUUUAUUGGCCCUUAAUUAACUUAACUAUUAGUUUUAAAGGGGUAGAGUACAGGAAGUUACUGGUGCUACAAAUGAAUUGCAACGACGUUCAAGGAAUAUUUUACCACCUGCAGCAGAUGAUUACUCUAAUAACAACACAUCUUCAUGGGGAAAACCGUUAGUAAAACUACUACAAAUGUAAGAUACUUCAUGUUGACUUUUUUCACACUUUGCUUAUAUGUUACUUGAAUUUCUUU